This 433-nucleotide ribosomal RNA is filed under the name uncultured bacterium. Its description in RNAcentral is "partial 16S ribosomal RNA". It matches the Rfam family "Bacterial small subunit ribosomal RNA", at positions 29 to 507 of the family's 1533-position model. The record is from RNAcentral.
AACGAACGCUGGCGGCAUGCCUAACACAUGCAAGUCGAACGAGACCUUCGGGUCUAGUGGCGCACGGGUGCGUAACGCGUGGGAACCUGCCCUUAGGUUCGGAAUAACUCCCCGAAAGGGGUGCUAAUACCGGAUAAUGUCUUCGGACCAAAGAUUUAUCGCCUUUGGAUGGGCCCGCGUUGGAUUAGCUCGUUGGUAGGGUAAAAGCCUACCACGCCGACGAUCCAUAGCUGGUCUGAGAGGAGGAUCAGCCACACUGGGACUGAGACACGGCCCAGACUCCUACGGGAGGGAGGAGUGGGGAAUAGUGGACAAUGGGGGAAAGCCUGAUGCAGCAAUGCCGGGUGAGUGAUGAAGGCCGUAGGGUUGUAAAGCUCUUUUACCCGGGAUGAUAAUGACAGUACCGGGAGAAUAAGCGCCGGCUAACUCCGUG